This 407-nucleotide ribosomal RNA is filed under the name uncultured bacterium. RNAcentral's name for it is "partial 16S ribosomal RNA". It matches the Rfam family "Bacterial small subunit ribosomal RNA", at positions 30 to 526 of the family's 1533-position model. The record is from RNAcentral.
AUUGAACGCUGGCGGCAGGCCUAACACAUGCAAGUCGAGAGGAGCGGCGGACGGGAGAGUAAUGCCUAGGAAUCUGCCUGGGAGUGGGGGAUAAGGUCCGGAAACGGGCGCUAAUACCGCAUACUAUCAGAUGAGCCUAGGUCGGAUUAGCUAGUUGGUGGGGUAAGGGCCUACCAAGGCGACGAUCCGUAACUGGUCUGAGAGGAUGAUCAGUCAAAUGGGAACUGAGCCACGGGCCAGACUCCGACGGGAGGCAGCAGUGGGGAAUAUUGUACAAUGGGCGAAAGCCUGAUCCAGCCAUGCCGCGUGUGUGAAGAAGGUCUUCGGAUUGUAAAGCACUUUAAGUUGGGAGGCGUUACCAACAGAAUAAGCACCGGCUAACUUCGUGCCAGCAGCCGCGGUAAUAC